Molecule: non-coding RNA, 456 nt
Organism: Bombina bombina (fire-bellied toad)
Lineage: Eukaryota; Metazoa; Chordata; Amphibia; Anura; Bombinatoridae
Source: the annotation of a RefSeq genome assembly
GAUCUGUUACACUCCUGAAACAUAAAGAUGAUUUGUUUUCUGAUAAGUGUAUUUCUGCUUUCUGUACAAGGCUCCUGUGGACAGAUUGUGAUGACUCAGUUUCCAGAAUUUCUUACUGUGUCAUCAGGAGAAAGUGUCACCGUGAAAUGUGAAGCCAGUGAUUACAUAAAUGAUGAGAUAGCCUGGUACCAGCAGAAACCAGGACAAUCUCCAAAGCUUCUUAUCUAUGAUGCAGAAAUCAAAUACACAGGGACCUCAGACAGGUUCAGCGGCAGUGGCAGUGGGUCUGGUACUGAUUACACUCUCACAAUCAGCGGAGCACAAGCAGAAGAUGUAGCAGAUUAUUACUGUCAGCAGGGUUAUGAGUCACCUCUCACAGUGAUACAGAGCUGCUCUGGGGACAGCUCCUUAGACAUUUCAGCUGCUAUAAACAUUUUGUCAUUGAAGCUUCAGUGA